RNAcentral lists this ribosomal RNA (580 nucleotides) under uncultured Alphaproteobacteria bacterium. RNAcentral's name for it is "bacterial SSU rRNA". It matches the Rfam family "Bacterial small subunit ribosomal RNA", at positions 129 to 743 of the family's 1533-position model. Lineage: Bacteria; Pseudomonadati; Pseudomonadota; Alphaproteobacteria. The record is from RNAcentral.
CCCUUUGGUUGGGAAUAACCGCGGGAAACUGCGGCUAAUACCGAAUAAGCCCUACGGGGGAAAGAUUUAUCGCCGAAGGAUGGGCCCGCGCCGGAUUAGCCUGUUGGUAGGGUAACGGCCUACCAAGGCUACGAUCUGUAGCUGGUCUGAGAGGAUGGUCAGCCACACUGGGACUGAGACACGGCCCAGACUCCUACGGGAGGCAGCAGUGGGGAAUAUUGGACAAUGGGCGCAAGCCUGAUCCAGCCAUGCCGCGUGAGUGAAGAAGGCCCUAGGGUUGUAAAGCUCUUUCACCGGGGAAGAUAAUGACGGUACCCGGAAAAGAAGCCCCGGCUAACUCCGUGCCAGCAGCCGCGGUAAUACGGAGGGGGCUAGCGUUGUUCGGAAUUACUGGGCGUAAAGCGCACGUAGGCGGCGUGUAUAGUUAGGGGUGAAAGGCCUGGGCUCAACCUGGGAACUGCCUCUAAUACUGACACGCUAGAAUUCGGGAGAGGGUAGCGGAAUUCCAAGUGUAGAGGUGAAAUUCGUAGAUAUUUGGAAGAACACCGGUGGCGAAGGCGGCUACCUGGACCGAUAUUGA